Molecule: ribosomal RNA, 253 nt
Filed under: uncultured bacterium
Lineage: Bacteria
Description: partial 16S ribosomal RNA
Rfam family: Bacterial small subunit ribosomal RNA
Source: RNAcentral
UACGAAGGGGGCUAGGGUUGUUCGGAAUCACUGGGCGUAAAGCGCACGUAGGCGGCGCGUUAAGUCAGGGGUGAAAUCCUGGAGCUCAACUCCAGAACUGCCUUUGAUACUGGCGUGCUCGAGUGUGGGAGAGGUUGGUGGAACUCCGAGUGUAGAGGUGAAACUCGUAGAUAUUCGGAAGAACACCAGUGGCGAAGGCGGCCAACUGGCCCAUUACUGACGCUGAGGUGCGAAAGCGUGGGCAGCAACCAGG